Long non-coding RNA from Neopelma chrysocephalum (saffron-crested tyrant-manakin), 732 nucleotides. RefSeq lists it as uncharacterized. Lineage: Eukaryota; Metazoa; Chordata; Aves; Passeriformes; Pipridae. The transcript is spliced from 3 exons. The record is from RefSeq and is a predicted model, not a curated record.
CUGUGCUCCCCGUGCCCCCCGGUGCCCCCCUGACCCCUGCGAACCCCCCCGUCCCGCAGCGGGGGUCUCAGUAACCUGCUGUACAAGUGCGCGCUGCCCGAGCACAUCCUGAGCGUGGGGGACGAGCCCCGGCAGGUGCUGCUGCGAGUCUACGGGGUCAUCCUGCAGGGCGUGGACUCCCUGGUGCUGGAGAGCGUCAUGUUCGCCAUCCUGGCCGAGCGCGCGCUGGGCCCGCGGCUCUACGGGGUGUUCCCGCAGGGCCGGCUGGAGCAGUACAUCCCGAGCCGGCGGCUGCGCACCGAGGACCUGCGGGACCCCGACGUGUCCGGGGAGAUUGCGGUGAAGAUGUCCCGGUUCCACGGGAUGGUGAUGCCCUUCAACAAGGAGCCCAAGUGGCUCUUUGGGACCAUGGAAAAGUGAGGGCGGGGCCCCCGAAGUCCCAACGAGAUCGUGGAGUGUGAGGGGUGACCCUCAGAUCCCGCUGGGAUCAUGGGGUGGUGAAGGGUAGAGGGGGCCCCAAAUCCCACCGGGACCAGGGAGGGGUGGGGGGAGGCCAAACCCCACCACGACCAUGGGGGAAUAUGAGGGAGAGACCCCUAAAUCCCACUGGGACCAUGGAGUGGUGAGGGGGGUUCCCAAAUCCCACUGGUACCAUGGAGUGGUGAGGGGGAGCCCCAAAUCCCACCAGUACCAGGGGGUGGGGAGAGGGAGCCCUAAAUCCCACAGACCCCA